GAUGAACGCUGGCGGCGUGCCUAGUACAUGCAAGUCGAGCGAACAGACGAGGAGCUUGCUCCUCUGACGUUAGCGGCGGACGGGUGAGUAACACGUGGAUAACCUACCUAUAAGACUGGGAUAACUUCGGGAAACCGGAGCUAAUUCCGGAUAAUAUAUUGAACCGCAUGGUUCAAUAGUGAAAGACGGUUUUGCUGUCACUUAUAGAUGGAUCCGCGCCGCAUUAGCUAGUUGGUAAGGUAACGGCUUACCAAGGCAACGAUGCGUAGCCGACCUGAGAGGGUGAUCGGCCACACUGGAACUGAGACACGGUCCAGACUCCUACGGGAGGCAGCAGUAGGGAAUCUUCCGCAAUGGGCGAAAGCCUGACGGAGCAACGCCGCGUGAGUGAUGAAGGUCUUCGGAUCGUAAAACUCUGUUAUUAGGGAAGAACAAAUGUGUAAGUAACUAUGCACGUCUUGACGGUACCUAAUCAGAAAGCCACGGCUAACUACGUG
Molecule: ribosomal RNA, 497 nt
Filed under: uncultured bacterium
Lineage: Bacteria
Description: partial 16S ribosomal RNA
Rfam family: Bacterial small subunit ribosomal RNA
Source: RNAcentral